UUUUAUGGAGAGUUUGAUCCUGGCUCAGAGUGAACGCUGGCGGCGUGCCUAAUACAUGCAAGUCGAACGAUGAAGCUUUUAGCUUGCUAGAAGUGGAUUAGUGGCGCACGGGUGAGUAAGGUAUAGUUAAUCUGCCCUACACAAGAGGACAACAGUUGGAAACGACUGCUAAUACUCUAUACUCCUGCUUAACA
This 194-nucleotide ribosomal RNA is filed under the name Campylobacter jejuni. RNAcentral describes it as "partial 16S ribosomal RNA". It matches the Rfam family "Bacterial small subunit ribosomal RNA", at positions 1 to 188 of the family's 1533-position model. The record is from RNAcentral. Lineage: Bacteria; Pseudomonadati; Campylobacterota; Epsilonproteobacteria; Campylobacterales; Campylobacteraceae.